Molecule: ribosomal RNA, 848 nt
Filed under: Odontacolus sp. OSUC 232369
Lineage: Eukaryota; Metazoa; Arthropoda; Insecta; Hymenoptera; Scelionidae
Description: partial 28S ribosomal RNA
Rfam family: Eukaryotic large subunit ribosomal RNA
Source: RNAcentral
GUGAACCGUCAGGGGAAAACCUGAGAAACCCGAAAGAUCGNAUGAGGAGACUCAUCGUNNGCNGAAUCGACUUGCGUGCGGNUCGCGAUGUUCGUAUCGGUUUUUAAAACCCUUACGGCACGCGUCCGCUGCGUAACGUUCGUUUACGUCGGCGUGCACUUCUNCUCUAGUAGAACGUCGCGACCCGCUGGGUGUCGUUCCAAGGACCGGUGUNGUAGACUGUUCCUGCGCUUNGGCGUGUAUUGGUAACAGACGCCCGGAUUUCCCGAUCGACNGCCCGGCGGUAUAACAAAAGGUAUCNAGCCGCACGCAUUUUUUGCAUGUGCGUUCAGGCCCGUCGCAAGCUCGAUUAUCGCUCGNAGCGCGNACCAAGCGCCGNGCCCGGNACUGAUCANCUGUUGGUANACGGNGUUCUCNAACUGGCUAAAUUUCNAACGAUCAUUUUUUUGAACUAUUGCUAUACCUAUCUGCNACGCUNUUGCUUUGGGUACUUUCAGGACCCGUCUUGAAACACGGACCAAGGAGUCUAACAUGUGCGCNAGUCAUUGGGAAUUGAUUAAAACCUAAAGGCGCAUUUAAUGAGAAAUUGAUCGACGCGGCUCUUUUGUCGUCGUCGGUCAAAGGGAGGAUGGUUCGCGUUGAGAUGCUGAACCCGCACUCCCGGAGCGUUUCACGUUCUUUUUAAGAAUCAAGAGGCGCACCAAGAGCGUACACGUUGGGACCCGAAAGAUGGUGAACUAUGCCUGGUCAGGACNAANUCAGGGGAAACCCUGAUGGAGGUCCGUACCGAUUCUGACGUGCAAAUCGAUCGUCGGAACUGGGUAUAGGGGCAAAAGACUAAUCAACCC